RNAcentral lists this ribosomal RNA (255 nucleotides) under uncultured bacterium. RNAcentral describes it as "partial 16S ribosomal RNA". It matches the Rfam family "Bacterial small subunit ribosomal RNA", at positions 78 to 334 of the family's 1533-position model. The record is from RNAcentral.
UCUUUCUUUGCUGGCGACCGGCGCACGGGUGAGUAACACGUAUCCAACCUGCCCUUUACUCGGGGAUAGCCUUUCGAAAGAAAGAUUAAUACCCGAUAGUAUAAUGAUUCCGCAUGGUUUCAUUAUUAAAGGAUUCCGGUAAAGGAUGGGGAUGCGUUCCAUUAGGUUGUUGGUGAGGUAACGGCUCACCAAGCCUUCGAUGGAUAGGGGUUCUGAGAGGAAGGUCCCCUACAUUGGAACUGAGACACGGUCCAA